RNAcentral lists this ribosomal RNA (269 nucleotides) under uncultured prokaryote. RNAcentral's name for it is "partial 16S ribosomal RNA". It matches the Rfam family "Bacterial small subunit ribosomal RNA", at positions 524 to 792 of the family's 1533-position model. The record is from RNAcentral.
UACAGAGGGUGCAAGCGUUAAUCGGACUGACUGGGCGUAAAGGGCACGUAGGCGGUAACAUAAGUUAGUUGUAAAAGACCAGAGCUUAACUUUGGGGUGUCAACUAAAACUGUGUUACUAGAGGAUAGUAGAGGUCAGAGGAAUUUCCGGAGUAGCGGUGAAAUGCGUAGAUAUCGGAAGGAACACCAGUGGCGAAGGCGACUGACUGGGCUAUUACUGACGCUGAGGUGCGAAAGCGUGGGGAGCAAACAGGAUUAGAUACCCCCGUA